UGAGGAAUAUUGGUCAAUGGGCGAGAGCCUGAACCAGCCAAGUAGCGUGCAGGAAGACGGCCCUAUGGGUUGUAAACUGCUUUUAUGUGGGGAUAAAGUGCGUGACGUGUCAUGCAUUGCAGGUACCACAUGAAUAAGGACCGGCUAAUUCCGUGCCAGCAGCCGCGGUAAUACGGAAGGUCCGGGCGUUAUCCGGAUUUAUUGGGUUUAAAGGGAGCGUAGGCUGUCUAUUAAGCGUGUUGUGAAAUAUACCGGCUCAACCGGUGGCUUGCAGCGCGAACUGGUCGACUUGAGUAUGCAGGAAGUAGGCGGAAUUCAUGGUGUCGCGGUGAAAUGCUUAGAUAUCAUGACGAACUCCGAUUGCGCAGGCAGCUUACUGUAGCAUAACUGACGCUGAUGCUCGAAAGUGCGGGUAUCAAACAGG
This 424-nucleotide ribosomal RNA is filed under the name Verrucomicrobiota bacterium. RNAcentral describes it as "Verrucomicrobia bacterium partial 16S ribosomal RNA". It matches the Rfam family "Bacterial small subunit ribosomal RNA", at positions 355 to 776 of the family's 1533-position model. The record is from RNAcentral. Lineage: Bacteria; Pseudomonadati; Verrucomicrobiota.